RNAcentral lists this unclassified non-coding RNA (810 nucleotides) under bacterium GI940. RNAcentral describes it as "partial contains 16S ribosomal RNA, 16S-23S ribosomal RNA intergenic spacer, and 23S ribosomal RNA". The stretch from base 1 to 156 matches the Rfam family "Bacterial small subunit ribosomal RNA", at positions 1380 to 1533 of the family's 1533-position model. The record is from RNAcentral.
CUUGUACACACCGCCCGUCAAGUCAUGAAAGUCGGUAACACCCGAAGCCAGUGGCCAAACCCGCAAGGGAUGGAGCUGUCGAAGGUGGGAUCGGUGAUUAGGACUAAGUCGUAACAAGGUAGCCGUACCGGAAGGUGCGGCUGGAUCACCUCCUUUCUAAGGAGCACAGCAGUGCCGUCUGUAUACAGCGGAACACCACUGCCAAGUCAUACGAAGACGAAUGUUCUUUCGAUGGCGCUCAUGGGUGGAACAUUGACAUUGAUGCGCAGAGUUCAGUUCUGAACUAAGUACGCCAGCUGUUGUUUACAACGGUCGGUUGGAAAGGUUUGGUUCGAAUGAAACGCAUAUGCACGCUGUUGGGUCCUGAGGGACCGGAACACGAGCCGCUUUCGGGUGGGUCGUGGACUUUUCCUCUGGACCUUUUUCGGUCAGCAGUCGUACUCCUUCGGGGGUCGCAGGCCGUUAGGGGUACCGCCCGUACUUUGAGAACUACACAGUGGACGCGAGCAUCUUAAAUUUGAACCCUUCGGGGUCAAAUUACAAAGAUCUAAGCAAUUAGAUCAUUGGUCAAUUUCGAUCAUCACUUUCGAGUGGUGAUACUUAAUCGAUUCAAACUCAUGUGAUUUCAAAUUUUCAAGAGCAAACGGUGAAUGCCUUGGCAUGUAGAGCCAAGAAGGACGUAGUAAUCUGCGAUAAGCCUCGGGGAAUUGAUAAACGAACUGUGAUCCGAGGAUGUCCGAAUGGGGAAACCCCGCCAGGCCCGCAAGGUGACCUGGUGACUCCCGCCUGAAUAUAUAGGGCGGGUAGAGG